This 444-nucleotide ribosomal RNA is filed under the name uncultured bacterium. Its description in RNAcentral is "bacterial SSU rRNA". It matches the Rfam family "Bacterial small subunit ribosomal RNA", at positions 331 to 792 of the family's 1533-position model. The record is from RNAcentral.
CCAGACUCCUACGGGAGGCAGCAGUGGGGAAUAUUGCACAAUGGGGGAAACCCUGAUGCAGCGACGCCGCGUGAAGGAAGAAGUAUUUCGGUAUGUAAACUUCUAUCAGCAGGGAAGAAAAUGACGGUACCUGACUAAGAAGCCCCGGCUAACUACGUGCCAGCAGCCGCGGUAAUACGUAGGGGGCAAGCGUUAUCCGGAUUUACUGGGUGUAAAGGGAGCGUAGGCGGCGAUGCAAGUCAGAAGUGAAAGCCCGGGGCUCAACUCCGGGACUGCUUUUGAAACUGUGUUUCUUGAGUGCUGGAGAGGCAGACGGAAUUCCUAGUGUAGCGGUGAAAUGCGUAGAUAUUAGGAGGAACACCAGUGGCGAAGGCGGUCUGCUGGACAGCAACUGACGCUGAGGCGCGAAAGCGUGGGGAGCAAACAGGAUUAGAUACCCGAGUA